RNAcentral lists this ribosomal RNA (453 nucleotides) under uncultured bacterium. Its description in RNAcentral is "bacterial SSU rRNA". It matches the Rfam family "Bacterial small subunit ribosomal RNA", at positions 29 to 526 of the family's 1533-position model. The record is from RNAcentral.
AACGAACGCUGGCGGCAGGCCUAACACAUGCAAGUCGAGCGCACUCUUCGGAGUGAGCGGCGGACGGGUUAGUAACGCGUGGGAACGUACCCUUUUCUGCGGAAUAGCCUCUGGAAACGGAGAGUAAUACCGCAUACGCCCUUUGGGGGAAAGAAUUUCGGUGAAGGAUCGGCCCGCGUUAGAUUAGGUAGUUGGUGGGGUAACGGCCUACCAAGCCUACGAUCUAUAGCUGGUUUUAGAGGAUGAUCAGCAACACUGGGACUGAGACACGGCCCAGACUCCUACGGGAGGCAGCAGUGGGGAAUCUUGGACAAUGGGGGCAACCCUGAUCCAGCCAUGCCGCGUGAGUGAUGAAGGCCUCUGGGCUGUAAACCUCUUUUAUCAAGGAAGAAGAUCUGACGGUACUUGAUGAAUAAGCCACGGCUAAUUCCGUGCCAGCCGCCGCAGUAACAC